UGUAAAUUGCCUCUUUUCCAUCUGUAUGUUCUUCUUACCAGAAUCCAAAUUGUCUUCAGGAAUUUACAUUCUUCUGUGUGUCUCCAUGGUUGGUGGCCCUACUUAAGAUUCUCCAAAACCUUCUUCCUUGACAGUAAUUGGUUUAAGAAUGUGAUCCAAUAUAGCCCUAUGUCCUAUGAGAAGGAGUUGCUGGGGAUAUUGUAGUAAAUUUCUUCUUCCCUUUUUGGGAUUGUUUCUGAAAGCAGUUCUGUCUUUCUUAAAAUGUUGCUCUAUGUGGAUAUAAGACCCAAAACUGCUGAAGUCAUUGCACUUGAAGCUCAAUGCACAGAGGAGGCAUAGUUCAAUAAGAAAUUCAAGGAAACAUGGCCAGAAGUACUGGGUUAGGUGAACCUUGAAGCCUACAUUUAUCUAUACUUUCAGUAAGGUCAAAAUGUAUUCACUUUACUCAAUACUAGAAAAACAAUCUGAUCAAAAAAUAAGCAGAGGACUUAAAUGACAUCUUUCCAUAGAAAACUCACAGAUGGACAACAGGUACUUGGGUCUGAAUGGGCUCUCAGACUUAAUAUUUGUACUCAAUAUGGUCAGAACAGUCAUCUAGAAAACAAAGUUGAGAAUUCUGUGCUCAUAAAGAAACUACUGAAAGUAAGUAAGAAUCAACUCUGAUGGUCUGUGAGCAGAGAGGAAUAAUUAUUUCUUCUUAUAACUCCA
Molecule: long non-coding RNA, 708 nt
Filed under: Vulpes vulpes (red fox)
Lineage: Eukaryota; Metazoa; Chordata; Mammalia; Carnivora; Canidae
Description: lncRNA (ENSVVUG00000003848.1)
Source: RNAcentral